RNAcentral lists this ribosomal RNA (253 nucleotides) under uncultured bacterium. Its description in RNAcentral is "partial 16S ribosomal RNA". It matches the Rfam family "Bacterial small subunit ribosomal RNA", at positions 524 to 776 of the family's 1533-position model. The record is from RNAcentral.
UACGGAGGGUGCAAGCGUUAUCCGGAUUCACUGGGUUUAAAGGGUGCGUAGGCGGGUAAGUAAGUCCGUGGUGAAAUCUCUGAGCUUAACUCAGAAACUGCCGUGGAUACUAUUUGCCUUGAAUAUUGUGGAGGUGAGCGGAAUAUGUCAUGUAGCGGUGAAAUGCUUAGAUAUGACAUAGAAUACCAAUUGCGAAGGCAGCUCACUACACAAUCAUUGACGCUGAGGCACGAAAGCGUGGGGAUCAAACAGG